RNAcentral lists this ribosomal RNA (254 nucleotides) under uncultured bacterium. Its description in RNAcentral is "partial 16S ribosomal RNA". It matches the Rfam family "Bacterial small subunit ribosomal RNA", at positions 524 to 776 of the family's 1533-position model. The record is from RNAcentral.
UACGUAGGGGGCAAGCGUUGUUCGGAUUUACUGGGCGUAAAGGGCGCGUGGGCGGCGCGUAAAGUCGGACAUGAAAUCAUUAGGCUCAACCUAAUGGCUGUGUCCGAUACUUACGUGCUUGGAGUGCGGGAGAGGCAGCCGGAAUUCUCGGUGUAGCGGUGAAAUGCGUAGAUAUCGAGAGUAACACCGGUGGCGAAGGUGGGUUGCUGGACCGACACUGACGCUGAGGCGCGAAAGCUAGGGGAGCAAACGGG